AUUUAUAUAGUUUAGGACAAAACAUUACACUUUCACUGUAAAGAUAAAGAAAACUUUUAUAAAUA
RNAcentral lists this transfer RNA (65 nucleotides) under Amitermes sp. QLD_299. RNAcentral's name for it is "tRNA-Glu". It matches the Rfam family "tRNA". From Rfam's summary of the family: Transfer RNA (tRNA) molecules are approximately 80 nucleotides in length. Their secondary structure includes four short double-helical elements and three loops (D, anti-codon, and T loops). Lineage: Eukaryota; Metazoa; Arthropoda; Insecta; Blattodea; Termitidae. The record is from RNAcentral.